Molecule: non-coding RNA, 270 nt
Organism: Rattus norvegicus (Norway rat)
Lineage: Eukaryota; Metazoa; Chordata; Mammalia; Rodentia; Muridae
Source: RefSeq, a predicted model, not a curated record
ACACAAAUAAAAGCAACAGAGGAGUUAAGCACGCUCACCGGCUUUAGCAAAUAAAAAUUCGACAUGCCUGGUUAAAUCUAAAUUUCAGAUAAACAAUGAAUUAUCUGUUCGUAGGUAGACAUGAUUAGAAAAAGCAGUUACAGUAGCAGACUUGGAUGCCGGAGUGUGGACUUCAUGGAUUGUGAACAGAUCUUCUCUGGCUGUGGUGUGCUUCCCCCUCCUCUUUGUAAUGCCGGUCGUCAUGAAUAAAUGACUCGGGAUGGAACUCCA